This 355-nucleotide unclassified non-coding RNA is filed under the name soil metagenome. Its description in RNAcentral is "partial contains 5.8S ribosomal RNA, internal transcribed spacer 2, and large subunit ribosomal RNA". The stretch from base 1 to 120 matches the Rfam family "5.8S ribosomal RNA", at positions 35 to 154 of the family's 154-position model. The record is from RNAcentral.
GAUGAAGAACGUAGCGAAAUGCGAUAAGUAGUGUGAAUUGCAGAAUUCAGUGAAUCAUCGAAUCUUUGAACGCACAUUGCGCCUUCUAGUAUUCUGGGAGGCAUGCCUGUUUGAGCGUCAUUAAACCUCUCUCAAGUAUGAUUACUUGGAUGUGAAGGAAGAGUACCUUAAACUUAAGGAGUGUUCUCCUUUGAAAUUGAUUAGCAGAUGGUAAUGUUAUUAAAUCCCUGAUGUUGUAAGAAAUAACAGUGGUUUUGUAGACUAUUAUCUAGCUUUAAAUUAUAAUUUUUAUUAUGGUUGACCUCAAAUCGGGUAAGGAUACCCGCUGAACUUAAGCAUAUCAAUAAGCGGAGGA